RNAcentral lists this ribosomal RNA (253 nucleotides) under uncultured bacterium. Its description in RNAcentral is "partial 16S ribosomal RNA". It matches the Rfam family "Bacterial small subunit ribosomal RNA", at positions 524 to 776 of the family's 1533-position model. The record is from RNAcentral.
UACGGAGGGGGCGAGCGUUAUUCGGAAUUAUUGGGCGUAAAGGGCGCGUAGGCGGCUGUACAAGUCAAAGGUGAAAUCCCUCGGCUCAACUGAGGAACUGCCUUUGAAACUGUACGGCUUGAGGCCGGGAGGGGGUAGCGGAAUUCCCAGUGUAGCGGUGAAAUGCGUAGAUACUGGGAGGAACACCAGUGGCGAAGGCGGCUACCUGGACCGGUUCUGACGCUCAGGCGCGAUAGCGUGGGGAUCAAACAGG